This 1217-nucleotide ribosomal RNA is filed under the name uncultured Rhizaria. RNAcentral's name for it is "SSU rRNA". It matches the Rfam family "Eukaryotic small subunit ribosomal RNA", at positions 577 to 1804 of the family's 1831-position model. The record is from RNAcentral.
CGGUAAUUCCAGCUCCAAUAGCGUAUACUAAAGUUGUUGCAGUUAAAAAGCUCGUAGUUGGAUUUCUGCGGGGACGGAGCGGCCGGACGCAACUUGCGUCUCGAGCUAGCGCUUUCCCCGCAUCCUGCCGCGAACCGUGCUACCAUUAGCUUGGUGGCGCUGGGGAUCGGCUCGAUUACUUUGAGAAAAAUAGAGUGUUCAAAGCAGGCCACACGCCUUGAAUAAGUUAGCAUGGAAUAAUGACUAAGGACUUCGGUUCUAUUUUGUUGGUGUUCGGGACUGAAGUAAUGAUUGAUAGGGACAGUUGGGGCGGUCUGUAUUCCAAAGCGAGAGGUGAAAUUCUUAGACCUUCGGAAGACAAACAGCUGCGAAAGCGUUCCGCAAGGAUGUUCCCUUUGAUCAAGAACGAAAGUUGGGGGAUCGAAGACGAUCAGAUACCGUCGUAGUCUCAACUAUAAACUAUACCAGCUAGGGAUCGGUCAACGUUUAAUCAUUCGACUUGAUCGGCACCUUAUGAGAAAUCAAAGCAUCUGGGUUCCGGGGGGAGUAUGGUCGCAAGGCUGAACCUUAAAGGAAUUGACGGAAGGGCACCACCAGCCGUGGAGCCUGUGGCUUAAUUUGACUCAACACGGGAAAACUUACCAGGUCCAGACAUAGUAAGGAUUGACAGAUUGAUAGCUCUUUCUUGAUUCUGUGGGUGGUGGUGCAUGGCCGUUCUUAGUUGGUGGAGUGAUUUGUCUGGUUAAUUCCGUUAACGAACGAGACCCCAGCCUGCUAAAUAGCGCGGCUGAGCUUUGCUCGGUGCGAGCUUCUUAGAGGGACUAUGAUGCGCGAUAGCACAUGGAAGUUUGGGGCAAUAACAGGUCUGUGAUGCCCUUAGAUGUUCUGGUCCGCACACGGGCUACACUGGCGCCUGCAACGAGCAUAUCAGCUGGCCCGAGAGGGUCUUGGCUAAUCUUUUGAACCGGCGCCGUGCUUGGGAUUGACCAUUGCAAUUGUUGGUCAUGCAACGAGGAAUGCCUUGUAAACGCGAGUCAUCAGCUCGCAUUGAAUACGUCCCUGCCCUUUGUACACACCGCCCGUCGCUCCUACCGAUGAAUGUUCCGAUGAAAUUUUCGGAGAGCGCCAGAGAACGGGGCUCUGCCUUGCAGAUCUGGAGGCUCAAAGUCACUUAAAUCUGAACAUUUCGAGGAAGGAGAAGUCGUAACAAGGUAACC